This 720-nucleotide ribosomal RNA is filed under the name Lachnostylis bilocularis. Its description in RNAcentral is "eukaryotic LSU rRNA". The stretch from base 333 to 488 matches the Rfam family "5.8S ribosomal RNA". Lineage: Eukaryota; Viridiplantae; Streptophyta; Magnoliopsida; Malpighiales; Phyllanthaceae. The record is from RNAcentral.
UGGGCGGUCGCCGCCGGCGACGUCGCGAGAAGUCCACUGAACCUUAUCAUUUAGAGGAAGGAGAAGUCGUAACAAGGUUUCCGUAGGUGAACCUGCGGAAGGAUCAUUGUCGAAACCUGCCCAGCAGAACGACCCGCGAACCCGUAUCCACACCGCGGCGGGGUGCCCCGUGCCCCCGUCCGCAGGCCCCGGGGGGACAAGCGCCUCCCUCGGCCGCCACCAACGAACCCCGGCGCGGCACGCGCCAAGGAACACGAAUUCGGAUGCCGCGCUCCCGCCGCCCCGGGAACGGGGACCGCGCGGGACGCGUCGUCUCCUUGUACAACCAAAACGACUCUCGGCAACGGAUAUCUCGGCUCUCGCAUCGAUGAAGAACGUAGCGAAAUGCGAUACUUGGUGUGAAUUGCAGAAUCCCGUGAACCAUCGAGUCUUUGAACGCAAGUUGCGCCCGAAGCCCUCGGGCCGAGGGCACGCCUGCCUGGGUGUCACGCACCUUCGCCCCCCGGGACCACGACGUGGCUCGGAGCGGGGCGGACAAUGGUCUCCCGUGGGCUUCCCCGCACGCGGUUGGCCGAAACACGGGUCCCCGGCGACGAGCGCCGCGGCAUUCGGUGGUUUGAAGGACCCUCUGUGCUGCCGCGCGCCCCGUCCCGGCGCGGGAUCCCAUCGACCCCCUGAAAUUACCGACGCGACCCCAGGUCAGGCGGGAAUACCCGCUGA